AGAUACUUAGGUUAUAACUAAACCGGAGGCCUUCAAAGCCUCAAAUAGGGACUAGCCCCCUAGUAUCUG
Molecule: transfer RNA, 69 nt
Filed under: Diplodactylus conspicillatus (fat-tailed gecko)
Lineage: Eukaryota; Metazoa; Chordata; Lepidosauria; Squamata; Diplodactylidae
Description: tRNA-Trp
Source: RNAcentral